Long non-coding RNA from Oncorhynchus keta (chum salmon), 3247 nucleotides. RefSeq lists it as uncharacterized. The record is from RefSeq and is a predicted model, not a curated record. NCBI's taxonomy places the organism in Eukaryota, Metazoa, Chordata, Actinopteri, Salmoniformes, Salmonidae. The transcript is spliced from 5 exons.
UAACCUAGCGUCCGUUAGUAAAAUGUCAUCCCAGAUAGAGCCCUGUUCCCUAACCAAGCAUCCCUUAGUAAGGUGUCAUCCCAGAUAGAGAGAGCCCUGUUCCCUAACCUAGCGUCCCUUAGUAAGGUGUCAUCCCAGAUAGAGCCCUGUUCCCUAACCAAGCAUCCCUUAGUAAGGUGUCAUCCCAAAUAGAGCCCUGUUCCCUAACCUAGCGUCCCUUAGUAAGGUGUCAUCCCAAAUAGAGCCCUGUUCCCUAACCAAGCAUCCCUUAGUAAGGUGUCAUCCCAAAUAGAGCCCUGUUCCCUAACCAAGCGUCCCUUAGUAAGGUGUCAUCCCAAAUAGAGCCCUGUUCCCUAACCAAGCAUCCCUUAGUAAGGUGUCAUCCCAAAUAGAGCCCUGUUCCCUAACCAAGCAUCCCUUAGUAAGGUGUCAUCCCAAAUAGAGCCCUGUUCCCUAACCAAGCAUCCCUUAGUAAGGUGUCAUCCCAAAUAGAGCCCUGUUCCCUAACCAAGCGUCCCUUAGUAAGGUGUCAUCCCAAAUAGAGCCCUGUUCCCUAACCAAGCAUCCCUUAGUAAAAUGUCAUCCCAAAUAGAGCCCUGUUCCCUAACCAAGCAUCCCUUAGUAAGGUGUCAUCCCAAAUAGAGCCCUGUUCCCUAACCAAGCGUCCCUUAGUAAGGUGUCAUCCCAAAUAGAGCCCUGUUCCCUAACCAAGCAUCCCUUAGUAAGGUGUCAUCCCAAAUAGAGCCCUGUUCCCUAACCAAGCGUCCCUUAGUAAGGUGUCAUCCCAAAUAGAGCCCUGUUCCCUAUAGUACUCUUUGUGUAUUGAAGUGAUGGUGGUGAUUGUUGCUAUGAAAAGAGAUCUUGAUCUUCCUAACCUUGUUACUGAGUUACUACAGCAUAUAUAUAUAUAUAUUCAGUAUAUUAUUAAACUCUAUGUUAGAGGUGACAUUGACUACAAUGAUCUAAGCACAUUCUAUGGUGCAUUGUGUUGUGUUCCACUUCCUCCUCCAAAGCAUGCUGUUUUAAUGUUUACGUGUGUCUUAACAUGUGCCACCGUGUGUGUGUAUAUAUAUAUAUCUAUCCCUUUGCUUGGCAUCCUACAUGGCACACUAUUCCCUAUGUAGUGCACUACUUCUGACCAGAAAUACUAUAUAUAUAUAUAUAUAAUAUAAUAAUACUAUAAUAGCACUAUGUAGGCUGAUAGGGUGUCAUUUGGGACAAAUACCUUGUUAUAAAGUUCUUUUUUAAAUUUUUAUGAAUCUUCAUUUUACAUUGAACUGUUUUAAACUUUUACUUUUUUGUACCACAUUUAUUUAUCGUUGUUGUUUAUCGUUGUUGUUUAUCGUUGUUGUUUUCUUCUUCAGUACGCUCUGAAGGUCGUUGAGGUCAUAUGUUUGACCCUGUACUUAUCGUAUUGCUAUUUCCUUGUCUUUGUGUUUUUCAUUUCAUUCAGUCUCUGUUGUAGUUUCCAUUCAGUGUCUUAAGUUAAAAUGUUCUUUGAGAGACUGACAACUUUGCUCAGUCACACUGUUAUAAUCAUUGUUCUUGUGGUUAUAGUAAUGUUAUAAACAGUUUAGAUUCGUGUUUUUUUUUUCAUUCUGAAGUCUGGCCUUGGUUAAGUUACAUUUUUCAAAAAGGGAGUUUUUGUUGUUGCCACAUUCCCCAAAGAGAUACUGUGAACAGAAUCAUACAUUUACAAUGUGUUGUCAGACAGUAUGGUUCAUUUUAACAGUAGAACAGAGUGUAGAUAUGUCCAGGUGUGUGUGUGUGUGUGUGUGUGUGUGUGUGUGUGUGUGUGUGUGUGUGUGUGUGUGUGUGUGUGUGUGUGUGUGUGUGUGUGUGUGUGUGUGUGUGUGUGUGUGUGUGUGUGUGUGUGUGUGUGUGUGUGUGUGUGUGUGUGUGUGUUUGUUGUUGUUGUUGUUGUUGUUGUUACUACUAUGCUGUUAACACUGUGAACGUCGGUGGAGUGAACGUUGUUAGCGCCAUCUAGUGGGCAACAUUGCAAUAACAGUACGGAGGAGAUGUCCAAUGAAUGAUGAUUUGAGGAAAUGGACAAUGUUAAUAUUUUUGAUCAUUCUACAUGUCGUGUUUUAAAUAGCUGUCUGCCCAGAACACAAACACAACGAAUAAAGUGCCUGAGCAUUAUGACGAGAACGGCAUCACAAAUGGCACCCUUUUCCGUACAUAUUUGACUACUUUCGACCAAAGCCCAAUGGGCCCUGAUCAAAAUUGGUGCACUAUAAAGAGAAUAGGGUGGCAUUUGGGAUGCAUACAAUAUCACUAUACAGAUAAAGACUGAUUUACUGUGUGUGAUUUUAUUUAUUUUUGACAUUUUAUUUACGCAGGUGGAGAACAAUCACAAAUUCUGUCAGAAAAUACCGUAUGUUCCUUCAAUCGUAACUUUCUCUUCAAAGUGGGCUGUUUUUAAACACGGGCAUUGUUGUAGAAAAACAUUGUUGGUAUUUUUUUUUAUGCGUUGAGACACUGACUUUACUUUGACCAAAACUCUGAAUCUCUGGCAACCGGCCACAUUGCUUCCAAUGCCCCAGAGACUGAAUACAGAUUCUGAAUCUCUGGCAACCGGCCACAGUGCUUCCAAUGCCCCAGAGACUGAAUACAGAUUCUGAAUCUCUGGCAACCGGCCACAGUGCUUCCAAUGCCCCAGAGACUGAAUACAGAUUCUGAAUCUCUGGCAACCGGCCACAGUGCUUCCAAUGCCCCAGAGACUGAAUACAGAUUCUGAAUCUCUGGCAACCGGCCACAGUGCUUCCAAUGCCCCAGAGACUGAAUACAGAUUCUGAAUCUCUGGCAACCGGCCACAGUGCUUCCAAUGCCCCAGAGACUGAAUACAGAUUCUGAAUCUCUGGCAACCGGCCACAGUGCUUCCAAUGCCCCAGAGACUGAAUACAAAUUCUGAAUCUCUGGCAACCGGACACAGUGCUUCCAAUGCCCCAGAGACUGUGGCCGGUUGCCAGAGGAAAGGAGUGCGUGUCACAUCGAGGGAAGGAGGGCGUGUCACAGUAAGGGAAGGAGGGCGUGUCACAGUAAGGGAAGGAGGGCGUGUCACAGUAAGGGAAGGAGGGCGUGUCACAGUAAGGAAAGGAGACAUUCUUUUGAACCAAGUGCAGGAACGUUUUUAUAAUGUUGUCCACUUUUGUUGUUUGUGAAUUCUUUGUUGUAUCAUAAAAUGUAAAUGUAUUAUUGUCAGUAUGACAGAAGAAUAAAUCUAAUAUAUUUUCUGAUUGGA